Molecule: long non-coding RNA, 552 nt
Organism: Ornithodoros turicata
Lineage: Eukaryota; Metazoa; Arthropoda; Arachnida; Ixodida; Argasidae
Exons: 2
Source: RefSeq, a predicted model, not a curated record
UACUUUAUACUCUACUCUGUAGUAGUAGGUCGUGGUUGUCUGUAAUACGAAGCCACAUCGGAUCGCCAAAGCCCGGAUGCUAAAAAGCUGCCAUUACCAACAAUACUUUUUAUGUGGCAACUUAUGUUUUCCUGCAAAAUAUAUGGAGUACAGUAACAGAACGAAGUGAUGCACAGAGUGAACUUUCCCUUGCCGCUUUCAAGCCUCGUAGAAGCAACGGAAUGACACCUAACAUUGCUUGAAGUUUAAUUCAUUCAUCGAGACAGCAGUCGCUAUCAUCGAGAUAUUUUUGCUGCAUUGUGUCCUGUACCUGCACAACUUAUUUACAAAACAACCUCGGAGUGGUGCGGCAUCAUGGCCAGUUACAGCUCAGUUUCUAGUGUCAAAGUCGCGGCACUAUCACAGUAUGACAGACAUCAUGACAUCCCUGAUGAAACUAAUGGCUUCUUCAGCCAGGUUCAUGCCUAGAAACGCUGCAUAUACCAUAAUGGUUAUGUUCUACAGCAUAAAAACGUUGAUUCCAAAGACGAAUAAAAUAAGUAUGUAAAGAGA